This 253-nucleotide ribosomal RNA is filed under the name uncultured bacterium. RNAcentral's name for it is "partial 16S ribosomal RNA". It matches the Rfam family "Bacterial small subunit ribosomal RNA", at positions 524 to 776 of the family's 1533-position model. The record is from RNAcentral.
UACGAGGGGGGCAAGCGUUGUUCGGAAUUAUUGGGCGUAAAGGGCGCGUAGGCGGCGCCACAAGUCACCUGUGAAAACUCUGGGCUCAACCCAGAGCCUGCAGGCGAAACUGUGGUGCUGGAGUAUGGGAGAGGUGCGUGGAAUUCCUGGUGUAGCGGUGAAAUGCGCAGAUAUCAGGAGGAACACCGAUGGCGAAGGCAGGUCUCUGGGCAUUAACUGACGCUGAGGAGCGAAAGCAUGGGGAGCGAACAGG